This 73-nucleotide transfer RNA is filed under the name Felis catus (domestic cat). It matches the Rfam family "tRNA". Rfam says of the family: Transfer RNA (tRNA) molecules are approximately 80 nucleotides in length. RNAcentral also lists the same sequence under 3 other names. The record is from Rfam by way of RNAcentral. Lineage: Eukaryota; Metazoa; Chordata; Mammalia; Carnivora; Felidae.
ACCUGGCUGGCUCAGCUGGAAGAGCAUGUGAUUCUUGAUCUCAGGUUCAUGAGUUUGAACCCCGUGCUGGGUG